UACAGAGGGGGCAAGCGUUGUUCGGAAUUACUGGGCGUAAAGGGCGCGUAGGCGGCCUGUUAAGUCGGACGUGAAAUCCCUCGGCUCAACCGGGGAACUGCGUCCGAUACUGGCGGGCUUGAAUUCGGGAGAGGGAUGUGGAAUUCCAGGUGUAGCGGUGAGAUGCGUAGAUAUCUGGAGGAACACCGGUGGCGAAGGCGGCGUUCUGGACUGCAACUGACACUGAGGAACGAAAGCCAGGGGAGCAAACGGG
Molecule: ribosomal RNA, 253 nt
Filed under: uncultured bacterium
Lineage: Bacteria
Description: partial 16S ribosomal RNA
Rfam family: Bacterial small subunit ribosomal RNA
Source: RNAcentral